CUACGGAGGGAACAAGCGUUAUUCGGAAUCACUGGGCGCAAAGGACGCGUAGGCGGGUUAUUAAGUCGGGUGUGAAAUCCAAUGGCUCAACCAUUGAACUGCAUUCGAAACUGAUAACCUAGAGUAUGGAAGGGGCAGGUGGAAUUAGUGGUGUAGGGGUAAAAUCCGUAGAUAUCUCUAGGAAUACCGAAAGCGAAGGCGACCUGCUGGGACAUUACUGACGCUGAGGCGUGAAAGCGUGGGGAGCAAACAGGAUUAGAAACCCUAGUAGUCC
RNAcentral lists this ribosomal RNA (274 nucleotides) under uncultured bacterium. Its description in RNAcentral is "partial 16S ribosomal RNA". It matches the Rfam family "Bacterial small subunit ribosomal RNA", at positions 523 to 796 of the family's 1533-position model. The record is from RNAcentral.